UCCGCACACAUGGUAGUUGGUAGUUAUGGCCACCGCAGGCUUCAGUUUGGAGCUUUGCUUCCGGAUACCAUGGUGUCGCAGAGCAACAGCCGUGGUUGUUGUAACAGUGUGAGGUUUUUGAAUGUGUAUAGUAGCGAGCUUUUGAUUAAGUUUCAGUCAAGCGACAGAGGUCGAGUUUGUCUUUGAAACUACAUUAAAUGGCCUCUUAUACACACGAAGAGUUUGAACUCAGCCAGAAACAUGAAGAUAUGUGAGUCUUUUCAGUUGUACUCAUCGGUUAAAAGGCUUCUCUUAGUCCUAUUUUUAAUUAUUCAAUCCUUGUUAUGAAUCUAAACGGCUUAAUGAAUGUAAUUUUUCUCAUGUAGACUGAGGAAAAGAGCAUCACUGCUGCAGCAGAUGGAAGCGCAUUAUGAACAGCAGAAGGCUAAGAAGAAACAGCAGUGUCUGAUGUCUCAAGCAGCGAAGGAGAGGAAUGCUCAGAUCCUUGAGGAUUUACAGAAUGCUGAAAAAAAUCUUCAAACCAGACAGCUGCUUCACCCAGAUAUUAUUAACCUUGAGACUCAUUAUUGGGCCUCAGUUGAACGGAAACUGCCAGAAUGGGAGCAGUAUUUGCUUGGGAAAGAGCAAUCGCCGGUGAGUGAGACUGGGAGAUUGCUUAGACAACAGAAACUGAAACCUAGACAGCAAGAUCCCUCCCCUGCACAAUGCAAGGGUAAACCACCUCGACCCAAACCUAGAUGAGCUGUCUGGUGUGUAACUUAUUUAUAUUUUUUUGCCCCAAAUUGUUAUUUUUAUUUAUUUAUUUUUUUUGAACGGAAACUGCCAGAAUGGGAGCAGUAUUUGCUUGGGAAAGAGCAAUCGCCGGUGAGUGAGACUGGGAGAUUGCUUAGACAACAGAAACUGAAAACUAGACAGCAAGAUCCCUCCCCUGCACAAUGCAAGGGUAAACCACCUCGACCCAAACCUAGAUGAGCUGUCUGGUGUGUAACUUAUUUAUAUUUUUUUGCCCCAAAUUGUUAUUUUUUUUUUUUUGUGUGUUAUAUAUUUGAUUUAAAUAUUAUAUAUGCAAAUACAGAAUAAAUGUGUUCAUUCAGUAGUGCAUUAACAUUCACAUGCACAAGUGCAUCCACAUGGGGGCAAUACUGACUACAUGUUCUGUAACUACACAACUGUGUAUCGAAAAAUAAAUGAAUGAAUCACUUGUAAAAAUCAGCUGUGAUUUACAGUGAAGUAUUAAAACUAUUAUUUGUGCAGUUAGCAAUGAAAUUAAAUGGUCUUAUUGAAGUUACUUUAAAAUGAGUUCAGAUUAGUUUUCCUUUACAAGUAAAAAAAGGAUUAUCCAUAUAGUGUCAAAUAAUAAACAUGUUUUCAAGUAAAAUAAAUUUACCAUUCUAUUUCCUCCUAACCCACUAUUUAACCUGUAUCUGAGUUGCAUUAUGCAAUGCUAAGCAUUACUAGUAUCUUCAAGAACAUUUUCUGAUGUCCAGUUUAAAUAAAAAAUCUUGUCUCAAGAUGCACAAAUGCAAAUUUGUGUGAGAAAAUUUGUGUGCAAAAAUGUUGCUUUUAAAUGCACCCCUAAACCUCAUUGCCUCCUUCCUGAACCCUCAACAACAAUGAGGUCAUGACUGCCAUCACACAAAGCCUAUCAGAGCACUUGGACUGUCCAUGUGAUAAUUGCUCUUGUAUUGCCUGUCUGUUGAAGGGUCAGCCACUUGAGUUGAGAGUUAAGUUGUCUAUAAUUCUGAAAAUGACACAUUUGAUUUGUUCUUUGAUUAGGUUUGUUGUUUAAUUAGCGUUUUCUCAUAUUCAGACUGGUGGUUUUGGGAAUCCAGGCAUGAAACAAGCUCUAAAGUAGCUUGUAUCUAAGUGGGUAUAUAUAACAAACAUAUAUAUUUUUUAUUGACUUUGAGUGCAUAUACUGUUUAAUCCUGAAUUUUUUUUCUCAUACUCGUUCACUGUCUUGUCUAUCGUCCCUCCAUGGAGGGAGAGAUUGCAGACCGUGUCCUAGCCUAAUUGGAUGAUCAAACCAGUUCAGGGUGACACGGAGUGGCGGCUUGACAAACGCGAUCAUCUGGAUGGUCACAGUUGAAGUGGUGGUGGUUGGCAGCUGCCCUUCCUCCUCAGCUGGGACUCCUGCCCCUGAGGUCAGGGCACCAGUCAAGGCUUCCAAAUUGGCAGGGGGGUUGGUUGGCUGUGGAGGAGUGGAGAAUUCUGGGUGUGGGUGGAGGGCACGACAGCAAAUUAUCUAAAAGGGUUUUGAAGAGCACGAUCUGGAGCCCUUCCAAAUGACUAGUUCUGCAUUAUGUAUUCUAAUAGGGAAAGCCCUGAGGUGGUUUGGCUACGGAUACCACUGCCAACUGAGGCUGUCAGAGCCCAGGCACAGGCCAAGGCCAAAUGUUGUUGAUCAGCUCUGGGCUUCAGACACCUGGCCAUCAGCCAGAUCUUCAGAACACUAUCGUAAGAAGAUAGAACAAAGUUGUUUGUUACUGAAUAACUUGUGUCUGUAAAAAUGGCAUAGUUGCUGUUACAAGAAAGCCUGAUUAUGUUGAGGAUUAUGGCACUUUGUUUGAAUAAUAGUAAAAUUACUAAAUAAAAAUACAUAAUGAAAUUUUUUAGUAUUUUCAUUCAUCUCUGAUCAUUAGAGCUCUGCAACGGUAUAAAUAUUUAAAAAUUCCCUUAGCGAAAAAAGCUCGACUUCCAUCAGAAACGUACCACCCAUUUCUAUCAAAGGAGCUUUUCACAACUAAAGAUCUUUGUCAAUGUAGUGCACUUAAACACAAAUAGCUUUUGCUUGGGAGCCUGUUGGGGAAUUCUCUCCAUUCUUGAAACUAUUAUUCCAGCACUAGUGCUGGUCAUGAGGGGACUCCUGUUGUGUUUUUGUUCUGGCUAACUUAUACGUCAUUCUGUUUUGUAUUGAUUUUGGGUUUCAAUAUUGUUAUUUUCCCCAUUUACCACACUGGAUCCCAUUAAUCCAAGUAGUCAAAACAUCCACUCCAUCCCAACAUUUCUGGCAGUAGUUUGAGUGCGCAUUGCUUGUUUGUGUGUAGUCAUGUAUUUAUGUUUUACACUCUUAAAAAUAAAGGUUCUAAAGAUUUUCUCAGCAAUGCCCUUGGGGGUUUCUUAUUGUGAAGAACUUUUGGAACCUUUUUCCACUAAAAAGUACAAUGGAAAGUUUCCAUGGAUGUUCAAGCUUCUUCGUGGAACCAUAGAUGCCAAUAAAAUUGUAUAUGGAUUGGACUAUAUUUUGUUCAGAAACCCACCACAGACUGGGCGUAAAAUCACAGCCUAAGGGAUCAGUGAGUGACACAUCGCUUUAUAUCAAAUCCCCUACAUUCUAACUUGGUGUAUUGAAGAGAGUACCAGCUUAACAGCAGGGUUUUUGGUCUGAGUUAAUUAAGACCCAUCCAUUGGGAAACGGAGUGGAGGUUGUUCUGAAAGGGCAUCCUGGGUCAAAAGAUUAGCACCGGACAUCCCAGAUUUACUGAUCCUGGCAAACAAUGAGACUGAUUACAGGUCACUCCUCUAUAGAAGCAAUACAGCAAUUUAAACAGAUAACUAUUGGAGAUCUGCUGAUAAGCCUUAGAUUUCAUUUAGCAGUUUCCUUUAGCCCAUAUCCCUUAUUUGCUAACACAAUGCGUCACUUGCAUUCAUAUUUAUAUAAUAGGGCGCUGAGAUUGUUGAAUAUAGAACAGAUUGUUUUGAGGUCAGACCUUCGUCUCUUUUAAGACAUUGUGGGUAAAGAGUUGGACGAGGGGACAGAAGGUCCCCUUCAGCUGCGUGGCCUGAAGCCCUCAAGACUGCUUCUGAAUGGAGGUCAUACCCGAGACUGACAUUGAUGUAAUUCCGGCGAGGCAGAGUCCCUGCACUCAACUACCGUGCGGCUGCCUCAACACCUUAGAGCAAUAAAGCUCCUUCUCUGAGCGUGCCCUUGACGAGCAGGCCGAACGCAGCGAAGGGGGCACCGCUGUCUGCCACUCAAGGCCCUGCGUGGGUAAUGCCUGAUCCUGCUCAUUUAGGAAUGGGAAUGUGAACUCUCAAAGCAUGUUUCAUUUCUCUUUUUGCAUGUGACUUUAUUUCAAACAUCCAUGUGUAAACAAGGAUGUCUGAAAUCAUAAUUUUUUAAAAAUAUGUAUGCCA
Molecule: long non-coding RNA, 4137 nt
Organism: Sinocyclocheilus grahami
Lineage: Eukaryota; Metazoa; Chordata; Actinopteri; Cypriniformes; Cyprinidae
Source: Ensembl